This 271-nucleotide non-coding RNA is filed under the name Ensifer fredii. The record is from RNAcentral. Lineage: Bacteria; Pseudomonadati; Pseudomonadota; Alphaproteobacteria; Hyphomicrobiales; Rhizobiaceae.
AAUCAUCGCUGAUCGGUUGGUUCCCGGAAUGCGAACGCGUUUCGGGAGUAAACGGGAAUGUGACGGAUGGACCCAAGCUGGGCAUCUCAAUCACGGCCGACCCCGCGACUGUAGAGCAGCGUGAAUCUGCCGUUCCGGAGCGAUCCGGAAGAAGCCACUGGAUAACCGCGAGAGGGCGGUUCGCAUCUGGGAAGGCGAGGCAAAUUUCUGGCGCCUGAUCUGGGCACCUGACGCUGCGAGCCAGGAAACCUGCCAAGCGAUGCGGGCAUAA